Molecule: small nuclear RNA, 103 nt
Organism: Ornithorhynchus anatinus (platypus)
Lineage: Eukaryota; Metazoa; Chordata; Mammalia; Monotremata; Ornithorhynchidae
Source: RefSeq, a predicted model, not a curated record
UUACAUAUAGCAGCACAUAAACUAAAAUUGUAAUGCUACAGAAAGAUUAGCACAGCCCCUGUGCAAGGAUGACAAGGAUGUACGUAACUCUGGGCCUCAGCUU